AUGUUCCCGUGCCGGCCGCUGGUGUCCCCACCGCUGCCGCGGGCCCUCGCCGCCGAGGCGCCCGUCUCUGUGCGGCGGUUGCGCGUGGUGCGGUGCAUGGCCAAGGAGCGGCGGGUGCGGAUGGUGGCGAAGAAGAUCCAGCGGGAGCUGGCGGACAUGCUGACCCGCGACCCCGUCAUGCAGCGCGCCGUCCUCCCCGAGGCCGCCCUCGGCGCCAACCGCUACCUCUCCUCCCCCACCACCAUCACCGACGUCGAGCUCUCCAACGACCUCCAGGUGUGCAAGGUGUGUGUGUUCGUGUUCGGGGACGAGAGGGGGAAGAAGGUGGCCAUGGCCGGGCUCAAGGACAAGACCAAGUACCUCCAGGUCAUGCCCGAGCUCUCCAACGACCUCCAGUUAAUUAGC
RNAcentral lists this ribosomal RNA (405 nucleotides) under Triticum aestivum (bread wheat). RNAcentral's name for it is "partial small subunit ribosomal RNA". The record is from RNAcentral. Lineage: Eukaryota; Viridiplantae; Streptophyta; Magnoliopsida; Poales; Poaceae.